RNAcentral lists this ribosomal RNA (253 nucleotides) under uncultured bacterium. Its description in RNAcentral is "partial 16S ribosomal RNA". It matches the Rfam family "Bacterial small subunit ribosomal RNA", at positions 524 to 776 of the family's 1533-position model. The record is from RNAcentral.
UACAGAGGGUGCAAGCGUUAAUCGGAGUUACUGGGCAUAAAGGGCGCGUAGGCGGAUGUUUAAGUCGGAUGUGAAAUCCCUGGGCUUAACCUGGGAAUUGCAUUCGAUACUGGACGUCUAGAGUAUGGUAGAGGAAAGUGGAAUUCCCGGUGUAGUGGUAAAAUACGUAGAUAUCGGGAGGAACACCAGUGGCGAAGGCGGCUUUCUGGUCCAAUACUGACGCUGAGGCGCGAAAGCGUGGGGAGCAAACAGG